Molecule: non-coding RNA, 345 nt
Organism: Brugia malayi
Lineage: Eukaryota; Metazoa; Nematoda; Chromadorea; Rhabditida; Onchocercidae
Source: RefSeq, a predicted model, not a curated record
UGAUGAUGAUCGUGAUGAUGAUGAUGAUGAUGAUGAUCGUGAUGAUGAUGAUGAUGAUGAUGAUCGUGAUGAUGAUGAUGAUGAUGAUGAUCGUGAUGAUGAUGAUGAUGAUGAUGAUCGUGAUGAUGAUGAUGAUGAUGAUGAUCGUGAUGAUGAUGAUGAUGAUGAUGAUCGUGAUGAUGAUGAUGAUGAUGAUGAUCGUGAUGAUGAUGAUGAUGAUGAUGAUCGUGAUGAUGAUGAUGAUGAUGAUGAUCGUGAUGAUGAUGAUGAUGAUGAUGAUCGUGAUGAUGAUGAUGAUGAUGAUGAUCGUGAUGAUGAUGAUGAUGAUGAUGAUCAGCCUUUUAC